CUCUCUCUCUCUGUGGCGUGGGUUUUGUGUCUUCUGUGUGUGAAAUUUUUAAUUUCUCUUUCUCUUUCUGGUUUUGUUUCUUGCGAAGUGCAGAAUUCAGGUUUCAGGGACUCGAGGAGCUUCUCUCAGCCGCCUUUCAUGCUGGUAAUCUCUACCGCCCCCUCUCUCCAUCGUUUGUUCACGAUUGAACCUCCUGGUUUUCUUGAAUUGCUUAUAAGAGGUUCCCACUAAUGGCAAGCUUUGUGCUGACAAGCAAAACCAAAUCUUUAGUUGGAACGUUGUAUCAGUCAAUUUUGUGCUAAUAACCACGAAUACAAGCAUAAUUAGUAUCCUCUGCUUGUAGCGGUGAGGCCAAGGGCGAGCUUCUGGCAAGCGAUGGAGACGUAGAAGACGAGGUGGGUGAGAGAGAGAGAGGAGGGGGAUGGAAAUCCAAGCAUUAUACUGGACAUAAACACUAGACUUGGAGUAGCACUGCUGUGUAGGUGCAGUAGUUGGAAAGCUCAUCAAUUUGGUGACGAAGUGAAGGUUACCCAAGCUGAUGUAUUCAAGUAGCCGAAUAACAUUAGGCAACCUGAUGCCUGCAAAGUUUUUGAAGGUAUAGCUAUGAAUUUGUCACAAGUGCUAAAGCAAAAUUCUCGGUUUUUUUUUUUUAUAAUGUAAGUGUGUGAAAACAAAAGAAGUUUUGCGCUUGUUUGUUCGUGGUGUGCCAAUUUAAAAAUUCAUGUCUCGAAAUAUUGAAGAGAUCGUGUUGUAUUGGAAUUUGAAAUUUUCGAGCAUAUAUCUCUCUUUUCCUCCAA
Eucalyptus grandis is the source of this 797-nucleotide long non-coding RNA. RefSeq lists it as uncharacterized. The transcript has 3 exons. The record is from RefSeq and is a predicted model, not a curated record. Lineage: Eukaryota; Viridiplantae; Streptophyta; Magnoliopsida; Myrtales; Myrtaceae.